GCCCGGAUGGUGGAAUAGGCAGACACAAGGGAUUUAAAAUCCCUUGCCCGUAAGGGCGUGCGAGUUCGAGCCUCGCUCUGGGCACCA
This 87-nucleotide transfer RNA is filed under the name bacterium. RNAcentral's name for it is "tRNA-Leu". It matches the Rfam family "tRNA". Rfam says of the family: Transfer RNA (tRNA) molecules are approximately 80 nucleotides in length. Their secondary structure includes four short double-helical elements and three loops (D, anti-codon, and T loops). Further hydrogen bonds mediate the characteristic L-shaped molecular structure. tRNAs have two regions of fundamental functional importance: the anti-codon, which is responsible for specific mRNA codon recognition, and the 3' end, to which the tRNAs corresponding amino acid is attached (by aminoacyl-tRNA synthetases). tRNAs cope with the degeneracy of the genetic code in two manners: having more than one tRNA (with a specific anti-codon) for a particular amino acid; and 'wobble' base-pairing, i.e. permitting non-standard base-pairing at the 3rd anti-codon position. The record is from RNAcentral.